GAAAUGCGAUAAGUAAUGUGAAUUGCAGAAUUCCGUGAAUCAUCGAAUCUUUGAACGCACAUUGCGCCCUCUGGUAUUCCGGGGGGCAUGCCUGUCCGAGCGUCAUUGCGAACCCCUCAAGCACGGCUUGUGUGAUGGGCCCUCCCGCGUCUUGGUCGUCAAGACGGGCCCGAAAAGCAGUGGCGGCUUCGCGGUUAUCCGAUCAGCCAGAGCGUAUGGGGACUUUCUCUCUGUCACACGCCCGCGGCGCGGACCGACGCCUGUCGACCUUUAUUCAUCUUUUUCUCGGUUGACUUCGGAUCAGGUAGGGAUACCCGCUGAACUGAAGC
This 329-nucleotide unclassified non-coding RNA is filed under the name plant metagenome. RNAcentral describes it as "partial contains 5.8S ribosomal RNA, internal transcribed spacer 2, and large subunit ribosomal RNA". The stretch from base 1 to 105 matches the Rfam family "5.8S ribosomal RNA", at positions 50 to 154 of the family's 154-position model. The record is from RNAcentral.